This 1201-nucleotide small RNA is filed under the name Arabidopsis thaliana (thale cress). Its description in RNAcentral is "ATSL118920". Lineage: Eukaryota; Viridiplantae; Streptophyta; Magnoliopsida; Brassicales; Brassicaceae. The record is from RNAcentral.
AUAUAAGAUUUGAUAUCUAAAUUUUAAUUAAUUUAAUUUAAUUAGAAAAACGAAAUACAUUAUUAAUUUCCAAAAAAGUAACCUAUUAAAAUCAACAAAUUAGAUUUGAUAUCUAAAUUAUCAUAUUAAUUUUUUAUUAAUUAUUAUAGUUCACUUCUCAUCUUUAUAUGAUUCUAUUUUUGCGAAAAAUAAUAUCAUCAUUAUAAAAAGAAAAUUAGAGUUUUUUCGCAUAUGCAAUAAUUUGAAUUUUUGAAAACGAAUAUAAACUGUUCAAUACAUGAAAAAAUAUUAUAACGGGUGAAAAAUAGAUUUAAGAAAACUUUCUACUGAGUAACGAGUCAUAAUUUGAAAUAUUUAUAUUCAAUUUCAUACAUAUUAUAUUGAAAAUUUAUAAUCUUAUAUACUACAAUAAUUAAUAACAUAUUAGAUUUUUUUAUGUGUAUGAUAUGAUUCAAUUUUUAAUACAAGCUGGAAAAUCCUAGAAUUGACGGAUUUAGAUCGAUAUUAAUACAAGAUGGUAUACUACAGGUGAAACUCUUAAAUUAACAAUCAAACUACAAGUGUAUAAUCUUAAACACUAAACAAUAUAGAUAAUAUCAACAAAACAUAUACAACUCACAGUUUACUUUUAAUAUUUUAUAUACAAAAUCAAUUAAAUCAUAAAUUAAAUCUUAAUCACAUAAAAAUUAGCACAAAAAAAGUAUUCAACAAUUAAAUUUUUAUCAAAUCUCUGUGUUAUAUAAGUUUUGAUACUAUAUUCGAAUAAAGUGUAAUAUACCUUUUCAAUUUGUAUUCUUUAACUAAUUUAAGCUAACUAAUAUAUUUGCUAAUCUUAUACCUAUCGAAACCGACUAUCGUUUCUUAUCUCUAUAGUAUUUUUGCAAGACUUUUUUGGUGGAUUUGGGUAAAAGUGCAUUCGGGUCAUAUGGUACAUUCCCCUAUUAAAUAAAAAUGGUAUACUCCUAUGUUAUUAGCUAAAAUGUUUAGAUUAUAAUUUAGAGUCAUAUCAUUAAUAAAAUUAAUAUUAAUAAAAUAAAUGGCUUUUUGGCAAGACGGAUUUGGAGUGACGGGUUUUUGAAUCAACAUUAAUAAAAAAGUAAAAUAUAAUUAAUACACCGUUUCAAUACGGGUUAAAUCUUUAAUUUAUUAUCUUUUAAGACCACUAAUAUUAAACAUAUCAAAUCAUUCUAAUUUAGAAAAU